This 460-nucleotide ribosomal RNA is filed under the name uncultured bacterium. RNAcentral describes it as "partial 16S ribosomal RNA". It matches the Rfam family "Bacterial small subunit ribosomal RNA", at positions 338 to 795 of the family's 1533-position model. The record is from RNAcentral.
CCUACGGUGGGCAGCAGUGAGGAAUAUUGGUCAAUGGACGCGAGCCUGAACCAGCCAAGUAGCGUGAAGGAUGACUGCCCUACGGGUUGUAAACUUCUUUUAUAUAGGAAUAAAGUGAUGCACGUGUGCGUUUUUGUAUGUACUUUAUGAAUAAGGAUCGGCUAACUCCGUGCCAGCAGCCGCGGUAAUACGGAGGAUCCGAGCGUUAUCCGGAUUUAUUGGGUUUAAAGGGAGCGUAGAUGGAUUGUUAAGUCAGUUGUGAAAGUUUGCGGCUCAACCGUAAAAUUGCAAUUGAUACUGGCAGCCUUGAGUACAGUAGAGGUAGGCGGAAUUCGUGGUGUAGCGGUGAAAUGCUUAGAUAUCACGAAGAACUCCGAUUGCGAAGGCAGCCUACUAAACUGCAACUGACACUGAUGCUCGAAAGUGUGGGUAUCAAACAGGAUUAGAUACCCCGGUAGUC